Cyprinus carpio (common carp) is the source of this 879-nucleotide long non-coding RNA. The record is from Ensembl. NCBI's taxonomy places the organism in Eukaryota, Metazoa, Chordata, Actinopteri, Cypriniformes, Cyprinidae.
GGCUGGAUUAUGGACUGGGCCUGGGCCUCCAAAACUGCUAAAGGAAGUUGAAGAGCAGUACCUUCAGUGCAUAAAGCAUGAGCGUAGCCUGGUCAGGCCUCUAGUCGUGCAUCUGCUGCUUUCCUCCUUUAUUCAUUUGUGUUAUGAACUGCCUGGAGUCACAUGAAAGCAGGACAGAACCAGGGGUCCUCGAGACUUGGAUUCGAUUCAAGACCAAUUCAUGCAUUACUCACCAUUCUGGAUUCUCAGAACAGAGGUCUUCUUACGGUCCUUAUGAAUUCAUCAGGGACCGAAUCUCCGAUUUCUAGUAGGAGCAGUCAGUGAAGUUUGGACGGGUAAAGGUCUUAUUACCUUAGAGACCAGGAUGGAUUUAAGUUUUGACAGAUAACACUUCCCACAACAUAGGUGUGGGCCUCAGCCUGUUAACUAGAGCGCAGGACCCUGGACACUCAAAACUGUCAUGUUUGGAUCAAGCAGUGGCAAACAAUCGCCAGUUUUCAAUCGGUGUCUCAAGCAGUGGAGAAGAUGGAGACUGACCUGAGGCUUGAUCCCUUCAUCUCACAUCAUGACCUGAACACCGCCCCACAGAGAGACCAAUCCUGGACGUCUGCGCUUAAAGAGGCCUUUGGUGAUGCACAGCUGAUCUAAUGGUACCGGCUCCUAGAAAUCCUGUGAUUUCUGCAACUCUCCUGGACUGACCACGUUAACAUCUGCAUGAUUGAGGUGAUGAUCUAAUGAUCUAGUACCUUCUAUUCACUGUCUGUGCAUAUGCAUAUACAGUAGCAUGCAAAACAGGCUAAAAAACAAAUUUCCAGUUCCGAUCUGGAAACACUCUUAAAACAAAAUAAAUGUACAUGAGACAUAAAAUCGUAUAAUAAU